GGAGAGGUGUCCGAGUGGUCGAAGGAGCACGAUUGGAAAUCGUGUAGGCGAGAAAUCGUCUCGAGGGUUCGAAUCCCUCUCUCUCCG
This 87-nucleotide transfer RNA is filed under the name Paenibacillus sp. HGF7. It matches the Rfam family "tRNA". From Rfam's summary of the family: Transfer RNA (tRNA) molecules are approximately 80 nucleotides in length. Their secondary structure includes four short double-helical elements and three loops (D, anti-codon, and T loops). Lineage: Bacteria; Bacillati; Bacillota; Bacilli; Caryophanales; Paenibacillaceae. The record is from Rfam by way of RNAcentral. RNAcentral also lists the same sequence under 1 other name.